CGGGUGAGUAACACGUGGGUAACCUGCCUGUAAGAUUGGGAUAACUCCGGGAAACCGGAGCUAAUACCGGAUAACAUUUUGAACCGCAUGGUUCGAAAUUGAAAGAUGGCUUCGGCUAUCACUUACAGAUGGACCCGCGGCGCAUUAGCUAGUUGGUGAGGUAACGGCUCACCAAGGCGACGAUGCGUAGCCGACCUGAGAGGGUGAUCGGCCACACUGGGACUGAGACACGGCCCAGACUCCUACGGGAGGCAGCAGUAGGGAAUCUUCCGCAAUGGACGAAAGUCUGACGGAGCAACGCCGCGUGAACGAUGAAGGCCUUCGGGUCGUAAAGUUCUGUUGUUAGGGAAGAACAAGUACGAGAGUAACUGCUCGUACCUUGACGGUACCUAACCAGAAAGCCACGGCUAACUACGUGCCAGCAGCCGCGGUAAUACGUAGGUGGCAAGCGUUGUCCGGAAUUAUUGGGCGUAAAGCGCGCGCAGGCGGUUCUUUAAGUCUGAUGUGAAAUCUCGCGGCUCAACCGCGAGCGGUCAUUGGAAACUGGGGAACUUGAGUGCAGAAGAGGAGAGUGGAAUUCCACGUGUAGCGGUGAAAUGCGUAGAGAUGUGGAGGAACACCAGUGGCGAAGGCGACUCUCUGGUCUGUAACUGACGCUGAGGCGCGAAAGCGUGGGGAGCGAACAGGAUUAGAUACCCUGGUAGUCCACGCCGUAAACGAUGAGUGCUAAGUGUUAGAGGGUUUCCGCCCUUUAGUGCUGCAGCAAACGCAUUAAGCACUCCGCCUGGGGGAGUACGGUCGCAAGACUGAAACUCAAGGAAUUGACGGGGGGCCCGCACAAGCGGUGGAGCAUGGUGGUUUAAUUCGAAGCACGCGAGAAACCUUACCAG
RNAcentral lists this ribosomal RNA (890 nucleotides) under Metabacillus sp. RNAcentral's name for it is "bacterial SSU rRNA". It matches the Rfam family "Bacterial small subunit ribosomal RNA", at positions 103 to 977 of the family's 1533-position model. Lineage: Bacteria; Bacillati; Bacillota; Bacilli; Caryophanales; Bacillaceae. The record is from RNAcentral.